Molecule: non-coding RNA, 113 nt
Filed under: Chloroflexota bacterium
Lineage: Bacteria; Bacillati; Chloroflexota
Description: Chloroflexi bacterium TPP sequence
Rfam family: TPP riboswitch aptamer (THI element)
About the family: Vitamin B(1) in its active form thiamin pyrophosphate (TPP) is an essential coenzyme that is synthesised by coupling of pyrimidine and thiazole moieties in bacteria.
Source: RNAcentral
UUUCUCGUCCAGGGGAGUUCGCAGCAAGCGAACUGAGAGGGCGCGUUAGGCCGCGCCGACCCUUUUCACCUGAUCCGGAUAAUACCGGCGUAGGGAGCGGACUAUCAUGCCCC